Molecule: ribosomal RNA, 669 nt
Filed under: uncultured bacterium
Lineage: Bacteria
Description: bacterial SSU rRNA
Rfam family: Bacterial small subunit ribosomal RNA
Source: RNAcentral
GGGUGAGUAACGCGUAAGGAACUUGCCUCUUGGACUGGGACAACUGUUGGAAACGACAGCUAAUACCGGAUAUUAUGAGAUUCUCGCAUGAGAAACUUAUGAAAGCUAUAUGCGCCAAGAGAGAGCCUUGCGUUCCAUUAGCUAGUUGGUGGGGUAACGGCCCACCAAGGCGACGAUGGAUAGCCGGCCUGAGAGGGUGAACGGCCACAAGGGGACUGAGACACGGCCCUUACUCCUACGGGAGGCAGCAGUGGGGAAUAUUGGACAAUGGGCCACAAGCCUGAUCCAGCAAUUCUGUGUGCACGAUGAAGGUCUUCGGAUUGUAAAGUGCUUUCAGUUGGGAAGAAGAAAGUGACGGUACCAACAGAAGAAGCGACGGCUAAAUACGUGCCAGCAGCCGCGGUAAUACGUAUGUCGCAAGCGUUAUCCGGAUUUAUUGGGCGUAAAGCGCGUCUAGGCGGAAAAAUAAGUCUGAUGUUAAAAUGCGGGGCUCAACUCCGUAUUGCGUUGGAAACUGUUUUUCUAGAGUACUGGAGAGGUGGGCGGAACUACAAGUGUAGAGGUGAAAUUCGUAGAUAUUUGUAGGAAUGCCGAUGGAGAAGUCAGCUCACUGGACAGAUACUGACGCUGAAGCGCGAAAGCGUGGGGAGCAAACAGGAUUAGAUACCC